GCUUUUACGGUAUGAAAAUUGGUGAUUUAUAAUAACUUAGCAAAUCGCAUAGUGAAAACAGGCGAUAAAUCAUUCAGGUUUCUGACCUAUCAGCUUUCGACGGUAUGGUAUUGGCUUACCGUGGCAGUGACGGUUAACGGGGGAUUAGGGUUCGAUUCCGGAGAGGGAGCCUGAGAAACGGCUACCACAUCUAAGGAAGGCAGCAGGCGCGCAAAUUACCCAAUUCUAACAGUUUGAGAGAGGUAGUAACAAGAAAUAACAAUACAAGGCAGUUAAAAUGCUUUGUAAUUGGAAUGAUAGAAAUUUAAACCCUUUUUAAAGUAUCAAUUGGAGGGCAAGUCUGGUGCCAGCAGCCGCGGUAAUUCCAGCUCCAAUAGCGUAUAUUAAAAUUGUUGCAGUUAAAAAGCUCGUAGUUGAAGUUCUGCUAAAAGUAACCGGUCUGCUUUGAAUAAAAGUGGUAUCUUGGUAUGUAUUUAGCAAUGAUGUCCUUUGAAGUGUUUUUUAAUUUAUUGUAAUAAAGCAUAUUCAGGACUUUUACUUUGAGAAAAUUAAGUGUUUCUAGCAGGCCAACGCUUUUGAAUACUGCAGCAUGGAAUAAUAAGA
RNAcentral lists this ribosomal RNA (603 nucleotides) under Hepatozoon canis. Its description in RNAcentral is "bacterial SSU rRNA". It matches the Rfam family "Eukaryotic small subunit ribosomal RNA", at positions 227 to 822 of the family's 1831-position model. Lineage: Eukaryota; Apicomplexa; Hepatozoidae. The record is from RNAcentral.